GGUAAGGCAACGGGUUUUGAUCCCGUGAUACGAAGGUUCGAUCCCUUCCGCCCCAGCCA
Molecule: transfer RNA, 59 nt
Filed under: Deltaproteobacteria bacterium
Lineage: Bacteria; Pseudomonadati; Myxococcota; Myxococcia
Description: tRNA-Ser
Rfam family: tRNA
About the family: Transfer RNA (tRNA) molecules are approximately 80 nucleotides in length. Their secondary structure includes four short double-helical elements and three loops (D, anti-codon, and T loops). Further hydrogen bonds mediate the characteristic L-shaped molecular structure. tRNAs have two regions of fundamental functional importance: the anti-codon, which is responsible for specific mRNA codon recognition, and the 3' end, to which the tRNAs corresponding amino acid is attached (by aminoacyl-tRNA synthetases). tRNAs cope with the degeneracy of the genetic code in two manners: having more than one tRNA (with a specific anti-codon) for a particular amino acid; and 'wobble' base-pairing, i.e. permitting non-standard base-pairing at the 3rd anti-codon position.
Source: RNAcentral